AUACGGAGGAUCCGAGCGUUAUCCGGAUUUAUUGGGUUUAAAGGGUGCGCAGGCGGGAGAUUAAGUCGGCGGUGAAAUUUUGCAGCUCAACUGUAAAAGUGCCUUCGAAACUGGUUUCCUUGAGUGUAGAUGAAGUAGGCGGAAUUUGUGGUGUAGCGGUGAAAUGCAUAGAUAUCACGAGGAACUCCGAUUGCGCAGGCAGCUUACUAAACUACUACUGACGCUCAGGCACGAAGGCGUGGGGAUCAAACAGGAUUAGAUACCCCGGUAGUCCACGCAGUAAACGAUGAUUACUAGCUGUUUGCGAUACAAUGUAAGCGGCUGAGCGAAAGCGUUAAGUAAUCCACCUGGGGAGUACGUUCGCAAGAAUGAAACUCAAAUGAAUUGACGGGG
This 393-nucleotide ribosomal RNA is filed under the name uncultured bacterium. RNAcentral describes it as "partial 16S ribosomal RNA". It matches the Rfam family "Bacterial small subunit ribosomal RNA", at positions 523 to 918 of the family's 1533-position model. The record is from RNAcentral.